AGUGAACGCUGGCGGUAGGCCUAACACAUGCAAGUCGAACGGCAGCACAGUAAGAGCUUGCUCUUACGGGUGGCGAGUGGCGGACGGGUGAGGAAUACAUCGGAAUCUACUUUUUCGUGGGGGAUAACGUAGGGAAACUUACGCUAAUACCGCAUACGACCUACGGGUGAAAGCAGGGGAUCUUCGGACCUUGCGCGAUUGAAUGAGCCGAUGUCGGAUUAGCUAGUUGGCGGGGUAAAGGCCCACCAAGGCGACGAUCCGUAGCUGGUCGGAGAGGAUGAUCAGCCACCCUGGAACUGAGACACGGUCCAGACUCCUACGGGAGGCAGCAGUGGGGAAUAUUGGACAAUGGGCGCAAGCCUGAUCCAGCCAUACCGCGUGGGUGAAGAAGGCCUUCGGGUUGUAAAGCCCUUUUGUUGGGAAAGAAAAGCAGCAGGUUAAUACCCCGCUGUUCUGACGGUACCCAAAGAAUAAGCACCGGCUAACUUCGUG
RNAcentral lists this ribosomal RNA (492 nucleotides) under uncultured bacterium. RNAcentral's name for it is "partial 16S ribosomal RNA". It matches the Rfam family "Bacterial small subunit ribosomal RNA", at positions 29 to 507 of the family's 1533-position model. The record is from RNAcentral.